RNAcentral lists this ribosomal RNA (434 nucleotides) under uncultured Coprococcus sp. RNAcentral's name for it is "partial 16S ribosomal RNA". It matches the Rfam family "Bacterial small subunit ribosomal RNA", at positions 341 to 792 of the family's 1533-position model. The record is from RNAcentral. Lineage: Bacteria; Bacillati; Bacillota; Clostridia; Lachnospirales; Lachnospiraceae.
ACGGAAGGCAGCAGUGGGGAAUAUUGCACAAUGGGCGAAAGCCUGAUGCAGCGACGCCGCGUGAACGAAGAAGUAUUUCGGUAUGUAAAGUUCUAUCAGCAGGGAAGAUAAUGACGGUACCUGACUAAGAAGCCCCGGCUAACUACGUGCCAGCAGCCGCGGUAAUACGUAGGGGGCAAGCGUUAUCCGGAUUUACUGGGUGUAAAGGGAGUGUAGGUGGCCUGGCAAGCCAGAUGUGAAAGCCCGCGGCUCAACCGCGGGACUGCAUUUGGAACUGUUAGGCUUGAGUGCAGGAGAGGAAAGUGGAAUUCCUAGUGUAGCGGUGAAAUGCGUAGAUAUUAGGAGGAACACCAGUGGCGAAGGCGGCUUUCUGGACUGUAACUGACACUGAGGCUCGAAAGCGUGGGGAGCAAACAGGAUUAGAUACCCUGGUA